CCUACGGGAGGCAGCAGUGAGGAAUAUUGGACAAUGGGCGCAAGCCCGAUCCAGCGACGCCGCGUGAGUGAUGAAGGCCUUUGGGUCGUAAAGCUCUGUCAGCAGGGAAGAACGGCCGUGUGGUUAAUACCCAUGCGGAUUGACGGUUCCUGCAGAGGAAGCCCCGGCUAACUCCGUGCCAGCAGCCGCGGUAAUACGGAGGGUGCGAGCGUUAUUCGAAAUUACUGGGCGUAAAGGGGGCGUAGGCGGCCGAUCAAAUCAAAUGUGAAACCCCACGGUUUACCCGUGUGAAGUGCUUCUGAAACUGGUCGGCUUGAGUAUCGGAGAGGAAAGUGGAAUUCCCGGUGUAAAGGUGAAAUUCGUAGAUAUCGGGAGGAAUACCGGUGGCGAAGGCGACUUUCUGGACGAAUACUGACUCUGAGGCGCGAAAGCGUGGGGAGCAAACAGGAUUAGAUACCCUGGUAG
This 465-nucleotide ribosomal RNA is filed under the name uncultured bacterium. RNAcentral describes it as "bacterial SSU rRNA". It matches the Rfam family "Bacterial small subunit ribosomal RNA", at positions 338 to 793 of the family's 1533-position model. The record is from RNAcentral.